This 466-nucleotide ribosomal RNA is filed under the name uncultured bacterium. RNAcentral describes it as "partial 16S ribosomal RNA". It matches the Rfam family "Bacterial small subunit ribosomal RNA", at positions 28 to 507 of the family's 1533-position model. The record is from RNAcentral.
GACGAACGCUGGCGGCGUGCUUAACACAUGCAAGUCGAACGGAAAGGCCCUGCUUUUGUGGGGUGCUCGAGUGGCGAACGGGUGAGUAACACGUGAGUAACCUGCCCUUGACUUUGGGAUAACUUCAGGAAACUGGGGCUAAUACCGGAUAGGAGCUCCUGCUGCAUGGUGGGGGUUGGAAAGUUUCGGCGGUUGGGGAUGGACUCGCGGCUUAUCAGCUUGUUGGUGGGGUUGGCUUACCAAGGCUUUGACGGGUAGCCGGCCUGAGAGGGUGACCGGCCACAUUGGGACUGAGAUACGGCCCAGACUCCUACGGGAGGCAGCAGUGGGGAAUAUUGCACAAUGGGCGGAAGCCUGAUGCAGCAACGCCGCGUGCGGGAUGACGGCCUUCGGGUUGUAAACCGCUUUCGCCUGUGACGAAGCGUGAGUGACGGUAAUGGGUAAAGAAGCACCGGCUAACUACGUG